This 899-nucleotide ribosomal RNA is filed under the name Schizopora radula. RNAcentral describes it as "LSU rRNA". It matches the Rfam family "Eukaryotic large subunit ribosomal RNA", at positions 38 to 937 of the family's 3401-position model. The record is from RNAcentral. Lineage: Eukaryota; Fungi; Basidiomycota; Agaricomycetes; Hymenochaetales; Schizoporaceae.
GCAUAUCAAUAAGCGGAGGAAAAGAAACUAACAAGGAUUCCCCUAGUAACUGCGAGUGAAGCGGGAAAAGCUCAAAUUUAAAAUCUGACAGUUUCACUGUCCGAGUUGUAAUCUGGAGAAGCAUUUUCCGCGUCGGACCGUGUACAAGUUUCUUGGAAUAGAACGUCAUAGAGGGUGAGAAUCCCGUCCAUGACACGGACUACCGAUGCUUUGUGAUAUGCUCUCGAAGAGUCGAGUUGUUUGGGAAUGCAGCUCAAAAUGGGUGGUAAAUUCCAUCUAAAGCUAAAUAUUGGCGAGAGACCGAUAGCGAACAAGUACCGUGAGUGAGGGAAAGAUGAAAAGMCCUUGGAAAGAGAGUUAAMCAGUACGUGAAAUUGUUGAAAGGGAAACGCCUGAAGUCAGUCCCGUUGGCAGAGACUCAGCUGCUUGCAUGUGUACUCUCAGUUAACGGGUCAACAUCAAUUUCAGUUGGUGGAUAAAGGCAUUGGAAUGUGGCACUUCGGUGUGUUAUAGACCUCUGUCGCAUACACUGACCGGAUUGAGGAACGCAGCACGCCACUAAGGCCAGGGAUCCGUCCCAUGUAACGUGCUUAGGAUGUUGGCAUAAUGGCUUUAAGCGACCCGUCUUGAAACACGGACCAAGGAGUCUAACAUGCCUGCGAGUAUUAGGGUGGAAAACCCUUGUGCGUAAUUAACGUGAAAGUUGGGACCUCUUGCGAGGGCACCGACGCCCGGCCCUGAAGUUUACUGACGGCGCUGCGGUAGAGCAUGUAUGUUGGGACCCGAAAGAUGGUGAACUAUGCCUGAAUAGGUGAAGCCAGGGGAAACUCUGGUGGAGGCUCGUAGCGAUUCUGACGUGCAAAUCGAUCGUCAAAUUUGGUAUAGGGCGAAAGCUAUCG